UGAGCAAUCUGCCCUUCUCUUUGGAAUAAGCGUUGGAAACGACGUCUAAUGCCGAAUACGACCUCCUUUCGCAUGAUCGGAGGUGGAAAGCUCCGGCGGAGAAGGAUGAGCUCGCGGCCUAUCAGCUAGUUGGUGUGGGUAAUGGCCCACAAGGCGACGACGGGUAGCCGGCCUGUGAGGGUGACCGGCCACACGUGGGACUGAGACACGGCCCAGACCUCCGUACGGGAGGCAGCG
RNAcentral lists this ribosomal RNA (237 nucleotides) under uncultured bacterium. Its description in RNAcentral is "partial 16S ribosomal RNA". It matches the Rfam family "Bacterial small subunit ribosomal RNA", at positions 118 to 353 of the family's 1533-position model. The record is from RNAcentral.